This 72-nucleotide transfer RNA is filed under the name Camelus bactrianus (Bactrian camel). It matches the Rfam family "tRNA". From Rfam's summary of the family: Transfer RNA (tRNA) molecules are approximately 80 nucleotides in length. Their secondary structure includes four short double-helical elements and three loops (D, anti-codon, and T loops). Further hydrogen bonds mediate the characteristic L-shaped molecular structure. tRNAs have two regions of fundamental functional importance: the anti-codon, which is responsible for specific mRNA codon recognition, and the 3' end, to which the tRNAs corresponding amino acid is attached (by aminoacyl-tRNA synthetases). tRNAs cope with the degeneracy of the genetic code in two manners: having more than one tRNA (with a specific anti-codon) for a particular amino acid; and 'wobble' base-pairing, i.e. permitting non-standard base-pairing at the 3rd anti-codon position. RNAcentral also lists the same sequence under 2 other names. Lineage: Eukaryota; Metazoa; Chordata; Mammalia; Artiodactyla; Camelidae. The record is from Rfam by way of RNAcentral.
GAGGGUGUAGCUCAGUGGCAGAGUGUAUGUUUAACAUGCGUGAGGUCCUGGGAUCAAUCCCUAGUACCUCUG